AAGGUGGGGACGACGUCAAGUCAUCAUGGCCCUUAUGUCCUGGGCUACACACGUGCUACAAUGGCCGGUACAAAGUGAGGCGAAACCGCGAGGUGGAGCGAAUCGCAAAAACCCGGUCUCAGUUCGGAUUGGAGUCUGAAACUCGACUCCAUGAAGGUGGAAUCGCUAGUAAUCGCGCAUCAGCAUGGCGCGGUGAAUACGUUCCCGGGCCUUGUACACACCGCCCGUCACACCACCCGAGUCGGGGGUACCCGAAGCCGUUAGUCUAACCGGUCACGGAGGACGACGUCGAAGGUAUGCCUGGUAAGGGGGGUGAAGUCGUAACAAGGUAGCCGUACUGGAAAGUGCGGCUGGAUCACCU
This 361-nucleotide ribosomal RNA is filed under the name uncultured bacterium. RNAcentral's name for it is "bacterial SSU rRNA". It matches the Rfam family "Bacterial small subunit ribosomal RNA", at positions 1170 to 1528 of the family's 1533-position model. The record is from RNAcentral.